This 433-nucleotide ribosomal RNA is filed under the name uncultured bacterium. RNAcentral's name for it is "partial 16S ribosomal RNA". It matches the Rfam family "Bacterial small subunit ribosomal RNA", at positions 29 to 507 of the family's 1533-position model. The record is from RNAcentral.
AACGAACGCUGGCGGCAUGCCUAACACAUGCAAGUCGAACGAUACAUUCGGGGCUAGUGGCGCACGGUUGCUUAACGCGUGGUAACCUGCCCUUAGGUUCGGUAUAACUCCCCGAAAGGGGUGCUCAUACCGGAUCAUCUCUUCGUGCCAACGAUUUAUCGCCUUUGGAUGGGCCCGCGUUAGGUUUGUUGGUUGGUAAUGUAAAAGCAUACCAACGCGACGAUGCAUAGCUGGUCUGAGAGGAGGAUCAGCCACACUGGCAAUGAGACACGGCCCAGACUGGGACGGGAGGGAGGAGUGGGGAAUAUUGUACAAGAGGCGAAAGCGUGAUGAAGCAACGCGGGGGGAGAGAGGAAGGGCUUAGGGUUGUAAAGUUAUCUGACAAGGGAUGAUAAUGACAGUACCGGGAGAAUAAGCGCCGGCUAACUCCGUG